UACCAUGAAAGACAUGUGCGCGAGGGUGAUAAACUAAUAAUUUUUUUUAUUGGGCCUUAUGUACAGUACAGUAUGCGGCAAUCGUCAAGAACGAUUAUUUUAGCCUCAAGUGAGAAUAGGCACAAGCCCAAACAGAUACAGUACUGCACUCCAUAUACAGUUGAACUUACCUAAGUCAAAUCCAAAAUGCCAUUGAAAUAUUGUUCAACUUAGAUAAAAUUUGACGAUUGCUAAUUCAUGAAAAACACAACAAUUUGGCAUGUAAAAUAAGAUCGACUUAGAAAUUAUUCAACUUAGGCACAAGGUUGACUUAGGCAAGUUUAACUGUAAAUAAUAAAAGAACUGUACACAAACAUUACGGUAAUUACACAACCAAUCAAGUUUUUGUAAUUAAACCAAAAAAAAAUCCAAUACAGUUUUAACUUAGUACUGUACUAUCAAUAGUAAAACCAUUAUUUGUUCAUACUCUACACUUGAACACCCCAUAUUUUUAUUUUGGUUAUAUGUUUAUCGGUACAUGCCACUAUCUAUGUAUUCCCAGUAAAUAUAACACUGGACAUGAAGUACAUUAGUUUAAAGACUAGUUUUAUUGACAAUACACUAGCUUUCAUGCUUGUAUUCCAGCUUAUUGUUUUAUAUUGUCACACUAGCUUGUUUGGAGCAAGAAUGUGUACCCACCCUCCAUUGUCUCUCAUAUGCUGUAGUAAGAAAGAUUGAUUUUUUUUUUCAUUUGUACUGACAUUUGUACAGUCACCUGAAAAAGCUCUGGUUGAGUGAAAGCUUGUUGUACUUGUAAUUGUUAGUCUUAAAAUUAUUGCUACCUGCAAGCUUAUAAUAUUCUUUUUAGAUUUAAUUAUUGAGUUAAAUAAUUAUUCGCAACUAACAACAGUUCAUUCAGAACUAUCUAUAUGGUGUACUUCAAGCAUUAAUAUUAUUACUUCGCCAUGCAAAACUUCAAACAAUAUUAUGAUGAAAUUAUAAUACAUAGAAUAAUGACAUGAAGUUCUUCUAGUAGUAACAUGGCUUUAAUACUGUACUUAAAAACUAGUUAGUACACAGCAUUGAGGUUCUGGUUAUUCAGCCAGUGAAAUCAAAAUUAAAAUUAUAAUAAAUCCCUAGUUAUAUGAUAAGAAUAAUUAUUUGUUUUGGUACUUUACUAGAAAUUACUAUAAUCUUCUGUAGUGUAGGUGAAUGGCUGCUCUGCUGUGACGUACGUAUACACCAACCUUUGUCCCAUUUAUGUGAUGACGUCACAAUUGGCAUUGCGUCAUCAAUGAUUCAGGUUCGUGCCAAUGGUGCAAGCUAGCAAGAUUGAAUAUGUAACCUUGAAAUCAGGAAUUUUGAAUUAAGGAUAAGUGCGAAGUGGGCGUAAAAUGUUAUGGAAGAAGAAUAACCUGUAACUUGGUCAAAUGACUACUCUAGCAGCAGUGGAGAGGCACUGUAGCUUCAGACAUUCCACGACAGGGUGCUGAAGUGAACCAGAGCAGUGGGAUGAUCCUUUUCUCUUCCAAAAGAUGCAGUUGCAAUUGUGAACAUUGCGUAUGAUUAAUAUCGAGAGGAAAUGGAGAUGUCAUCAUGAGUGAUCACGCCAAUCAUGUAUUGUAUGUUGGAGUUGAGGUGGAAUUGUUUUAAAGUUUGCUGGUGUUUACCUGGAUUUCGCUUUGCAUUCACAUAGGUAGCUACAGAGCUUUUGUAAAGCAGGAUGGUUGUCUUCAGUAAUUUGUGACAUCAUUUAGUUGUCUGUGUAAGCCGCUUUCCAGACUAUCAAAUUUUAUUUGACAAAAACAUGCAACAUGCCUUAGUAUGGUCAUGAUGACAUCACAUCAUGACCAUAUAUGGGCAUAUCAUGGCUAUAUAUGGACAUACAACAGUUUUUUGUCAAAGAAAAUUUGGUAGUCUGGAUAUAGCUUUUGACAUGGGUAAGGUUGGAUCUGAUGCCGAAAGCUGAUGCAGCAAUGGUUCAUUCAAGAGUGGUUGAUAUGAAAACUGAAAGAACUGCUUUGGCUGCAUCCCUGUAUAUUGAACCUGGUGUUUCUACGAGCAGCAGCUGGAUUUGUAUGUAGGAGAGAAUAAAAAUAUUAACCCUCAAAUUUAUUUAAGAAGAAAAGCCCUAUUACAUUUCUGUGUAAUUUUUUGGGUGUAGGAGAGGUGGAUAUGGGAAGGGAUAUGAAAGGCACAUGCAAUGGAAUGCACAUGCUAUUGGGUUCUGAAGUAGGAGUGAUGCUUACUUUGGUAUGGGUUAGCCAGGAGGCUGGGAUUAGAAUAAUUUGAUGGGGAUAUUGAUUGGGGAUGUUGCAGUAUUCCGGCGGCAACUAUGCCCCUAGCAAAUCAUAAACUAUAUUAUUGUUCAUCUCUCAUGAAACAUAAUUUCAUCAUCAUUGGAUGUUAUAUGUGAUUCUUUAUAAUUAGUUUUAAAUUUGGAGGUGUUUUUUUUUUUAUUUUUGAGGUUUUUCUAGUAAGCACUUUUGAUUAAAGUUCAAGAUAAUGUACUUUCAUUCUAUGAAAUGGUGAAAGUAUAUUGAAUGAGAUUGAAACUGAUUAUUAAUUGAGGCUGAGACAGAAAAACAAGUUUGUUUCCUAUACGUAAGGGUAAACACAAAGCUUGUUAAUGAAAUUAAGGAAAAUAAUUAAUUUGAUUAGGCUGCUGAAUAUGAUUACGAUAGAUUUGUACAGCCACAGUAAUUCUGAGUUCUCUCUCUCAUUGUUACAAAAUGGAUUAACAUUAAGUAACAUACAGUUCAGGCAAGUUCAUACAGUACAAACUAUUUAUAUUUUUGAUUGGCAAUCCUGAUACGUUGCAAUCUUUCUGAUUGGCUUAUCUUGAAUAUUGUGGAUCUCCUUAUUGGCUGAUAUUGAAUUUUGCAAUCACCUAAAUAAACUCUUUGAAAGUUGCAAUUUUCUGAUUGGCCAAAUUAAAAUGUUGCAAUCUUAUGAUUGGCUUUUUGUAAUUUCUGAAAUAAAAACACAAUAUCAUAAUGUAUGGACCUAAAUUGGCAUUAGAGAUGAAAUUUUUUAACAAAUAAUGACAACAGCAAUAAAUAAAUUAGCCAAUUUAACAUAACACAAUAAGUACUAAAGUUUACCAAUAAACUGAUGCCUGUUCAGUACUGUAUAUCGUUUGGAUAUUAAUAAACAUUGCUUUUAUGCCAUCUAGCUUGAGACCUCUAUUUUAGCAAAAUUUUUACCAUUUUAGCUUUUAAAAUUUUAACAUUUACCUUUAUAUAAUAACAUUAUAUGAUGUGAUGUAUGUGUUGUGUGUUUUAGUGUGUGAUUGUAUCAAUAAGAAUAUUUUUAUUUUAUCUGUGAACAAACAACCAGAAUAUCAAUCUGUGUAUUUUACUGUGUUUGACAAAGAUUGAAUUUAAUAAAUCUUUUUAUUGCAAAAAUGUAUUGUUAUGCUAGUGCCCACUCGCAGGUUAGUGUGCUUGCUUCAAUAGCGUCCAGAAAGGCAGUGUUUGUAAUUAGUGUAAUAUAUUUGUGAAACGUCAUUUUUAAUGCCCCUAGGUAAAGGAAGCCCUGGUAAAAUGUUGAAAAAUGUUAUUUCUUCACAUCCAACAAGUACAGUACACUCGCCAUUUACAGGAUGGAAUGAUGAUAAACCAAGCCUCUUAUUGAGGCCUAGGAAGAGGAGAGGAGUUGUUUUUGGUUGUGAGAAAAAGUCCUGCUGUAACAGAAAUAGAAACAAGGAUCCUGGGUUUAGAAGCCAAGCAUAAGCUACUAACUAAGCUACUCAACUCUACUCCAACUACAUAAACUGGGGGUUUUUUGCCAUUGGAUGAAAGCUAAACUAAUAUUGUUUUUAAAAAUAUGUGUACAGUAUAUUCAACUAGUUAUGUCAAUAAGAUGAUAACAUACCACACACGAAGGUGGAACUUGGAAGAAUUAUUUACUUGCCUGUUGUUAAGUGGCAAAUAUAGUGAUAGCGUUAUGACGUAGUCUGACGGAAAUAAUGGUAAUUAAAAAAGUUUUGCAUUUAGAUAGGCCUAAUAGUAAUACACAAAAAAAUGAAAAGCAAUAUCAAUGUA
Molecule: long non-coding RNA, 4025 nt
Organism: Anneissia japonica
Lineage: Eukaryota; Metazoa; Echinodermata; Crinoidea; Comatulida; Comatulidae
Exons: 6
Source: RefSeq, a predicted model, not a curated record